This is an RNA transcript of Onychostruthus taczanowskii (white-rumped snowfinch), 745 nucleotides long. It is a transcript of the gene named retinol binding protein 7, with no coding region annotated. The transcript has 5 exons. The record is from RefSeq and is a predicted model, not a curated record. NCBI's taxonomy places the organism in Eukaryota, Metazoa, Chordata, Aves, Passeriformes, Passeridae.
AAAGGCCUGGCUAGAAAACUACUCUUGCCUUUUGGACUGGAUCUUCCUUCUACUCUCUGGCAAUGCCUGUGGAUUUCAGCGGAACGUGGAACCUCGUCAGCAAUGACAACUUCGAGGGUUAUAUGGUGGCCUUAGGUAUUGACUUUGCAACACGCAAAAUAGCAAAGAUGCUGAAGCCUCAGAAAGUGAUCAAACAAGAUGGUGAUUCAUUCUAUAUCCACACCACUAGCACAUUCAGAGAUUAUUUGCUUGAAUUCAAAGUUGGAGAAGAGUUUGAGGAAGAUAAUAAAGGCUUGGAUAACAGAAAAUGCAAGAGCCUCGUUACCUGGGAAAAUGACAAACUUGUCUGUGUCCAGACUGGUGAGAAGAAGAACAGGGGCUGGACUCACUGGCUCGAAGGGGAUGACCUCCACCUGCUCUCCUAGGUAGGAAAGAUGUGUAAUGGAUGUACAUUGUGAGCCCAUUCUGCUUUGAAACAGCUUCGUUGUUUCACUGUCACCUGUAGUUAAAUUCAAAUGUUAAGUGAGCUUCGUUGUGAGAAUCAAGUCUGCAGACAGGUCUUCAAGAGAGCUUGAAUCUGCGUGGAGUGCUGGGUCCUGCCUGUGGGACAGCUCUGCCCAGGAGCCUCGUGUCCAGCGAGCGCUCUACGGACACGAACUGACUCAAUGGUCUGAAGUUUCUGGCUCAGGAAAUAAGUCUGCUCUUGCCAGUGUUAAAGGUCUCAUUUUUGCUAAUAAAUGCCUCA